AACGAACGCUGGCGGCAGGUCUUAGGCAUGCAAGUCGAACGGGUGAAGCAGGUGCUUGCACUUGUGGAUCUAGUGGCGCACGAGUGAGUAACGCGUGGGAAACUGCCCACCACUGGGGAAUAACGUUUGGAAACGAACGCUAAUACCGCAUACGCCGGAAACGGGAAAGAUUUAUCGGUGGUGGAUGGUCUCGCGUCUGAUUAGCUAGAUGGCGGGGUAACGGCCCACCAUGGCGACGAUCAGUAGCCGGUCUGAGAGGAUGAACGGCCACAUUGGGACUGAGAUACGGCCCAGACUCCUACGGGAGGCAGCAGUGGGGAAUAUUGGGCAAUGGGGGAAACCCUGACCCAGCAACGCCGCGUGAAGGAAGAAGGCCUUCGGGUUGUAAACUUCUUUUAGUAGGGACGAAGAACGUGACGGUACCUACAGAAAAAGCAACGGCUAACUACGUG
This 452-nucleotide ribosomal RNA is filed under the name uncultured bacterium. Its description in RNAcentral is "bacterial SSU rRNA". It matches the Rfam family "Bacterial small subunit ribosomal RNA", at positions 29 to 507 of the family's 1533-position model. The record is from RNAcentral.